AAGAGCUCAAAUUUGAAAUCUGGCACCUUCGGUGUCCGAGUUGUAAUUUGUAGAAGCAUCUUUUGGAUUGGUCCUUGCAUAUGUUCCUUGGAACAGGACAUCAUAGAGGGUGAGAAUCCCGUUCAUGGUGGGGAAUCCAAUUCUUUGUAAAGUGCUUUCGAAGAGUCGAGUUGUUUGGGAAUGCAGCUCUAAGUGGGUGGUAAAUUCCAUCUAAAGCUAAAUAUUGGCGAGAGACCGAUAGCGAACAAGUACAGUGAUGGAAAGAUGAAAAGAACUCCGAAAGGAGAGUGAAAAAGGACGUGAAAUUGUUGAAAGGGAAGUGCUUGAGAUCAGUCUUAAGGUUUAGUGAUCAGUCUUCCUUUUGGUUGGUGCACUCACUAUUUCUUAGGCCAACAUCAGUUUUGGCGGCAGGAUAAUGACAUUGGAAUGUGGCUCUUUCGGGAGUGUUAUAGCCUUUGUUGAUACUGCCUGCUUAGACUGAGGACUGCGCUUUUGCUAGGAUGUUGGCAUAAUGAUCUUAAGCAGC
RNAcentral lists this ribosomal RNA (526 nucleotides) under Lipomyces starkeyi. RNAcentral's name for it is "partial 26S ribosomal RNA". It matches the Rfam family "Eukaryotic large subunit ribosomal RNA", at positions 103 to 648 of the family's 3401-position model. Lineage: Eukaryota; Fungi; Ascomycota; Lipomycetes; Lipomycetales; Lipomycetaceae. The record is from RNAcentral.